UGGGAGCUUCAAAAAAGGUCGCCCCAC
Molecule: non-coding RNA, 27 nt
Filed under: Mus musculus (house mouse)
Lineage: Eukaryota; Metazoa; Chordata; Mammalia; Rodentia; Muridae
Source: RNAcentral